This 373-nucleotide ribosomal RNA is filed under the name uncultured organism. RNAcentral's name for it is "partial 16S ribosomal RNA". It matches the Rfam family "Bacterial small subunit ribosomal RNA", at positions 527 to 896 of the family's 1533-position model. The record is from RNAcentral.
GUAGGGUGCAAGCGUUGUUCGGAAUUAUUGGGCGUAAAGCGCGUGUAGGUGGUUACGCAAGUCGGAUGUGAAAUCCCUGGGCUCAACCGAGGAAGUGCAUCCGAAACUACAUAACUAGAGGACGGUAGAGGGAGGUGGAAUUCCUAGUGUAGAGGUGAAAUUCGUAGAUAUUAGGAGGAAUACCGGCGGCGAAGGCGGCCUUCUGGACCGGCCCUGACACUGAGACGCGAAAGCGUGGGGAGCAAACAGGAUUAGAUACCCUGGUAGUCCACGCCGUAAACGAUGAGUACUAGGUGUUGCGGGUAUUGACCCCCCUGCAGUGCCGAAGCAAACGCAUUAAGUACUCCGCCUGGGAAGUACGGUCGCAAGAUUA